RNAcentral lists this unclassified non-coding RNA (315 nucleotides) under Hevea brasiliensis (rubber tree). Lineage: Eukaryota; Viridiplantae; Streptophyta; Magnoliopsida; Malpighiales; Euphorbiaceae. The record is from RNAcentral.
GAAAAGGAGAGGCUGUAAUGUGACUCUUUGCCUUGGAGAGAGACGAAAACCAAACCCUAGAUUUUUCAGUCCCCAGUAGCAAUUUUGUUCAUUUUUAUUCACCCAAAUUUCAGAUCCAACCACAUACUUCACCCCCAACAAUCUUUCCUCCCUUCUUUUCUUUUGCCGCUGAUCUUGCCUAAUUAUAGACAUUCAAGAAGGAGGAAACCCGUCCAGUGUUCUGUGAAUAGUCUCUUGAGAUUCUUUGUGAAGCUUUUUUGAGUCGGAUUUUUAUUUAUUAGGCCAUUAAAGAUGAUGUCCAAAUCGUAUACUAAU